Long non-coding RNA from Gorilla gorilla gorilla (western lowland gorilla), 5152 nucleotides. RefSeq lists it as uncharacterized. The transcript is spliced from 3 exons. The record is from RefSeq and is a predicted model, not a curated record. Lineage: Eukaryota; Metazoa; Chordata; Mammalia; Primates; Hominidae.
CACGUGGAAGCUUUACUUUUGCUUUCAUUUUACUUUCGCUUUUGCUCUAAUAAAUCUUGCCACCGCACCCUCUUUGGGUCGGCGGGUUUCUCUAAUCUAGCUGUAACACUCGCCACUGCAGCCCACGGCUUCAUUCCUGGAAGCCCGUGAGACCAGGAACCCUUCGAUCGAGAAAAGACCUUCCAUUGGGAGAAGACUUCUCGUCUUAUUUCCACCUAUAAUCUCUUCAAAACAUAGCAGUCAGAGUUAUCUGCUGAACUUAUAAGUCACUCAUCUGCUCAAAGCCUCCCAGUGGCUUCUCAUCUCACAGAAUCCAAGUCGACCUUCCUGGAGCCUCUAUCUACUACUUGUUUUGCUCAACAAGAACACACAUCGUGUUGACUCCAUCUUUUAUAUGAUGCCUCACCACAAUGUUCCAUUGGCCAGUGCAAGAGAAACCAGGAUGCUUCCUCAUACUGCACAUCUUUAUCUGAGAACCAAAGGACAAAUAUGGGUGUCACAUGCCAGCUCCUUCUACCUCCUUCUGAAACCAGAGGACUGGAUUGGAACCAACAGAGAUCAUGCUGUUUACUUCACAGAUUUCAAGAAAAGUGAAUUCUGAAUAAUCAUUUUUUUUUAGAUCUUCCUAUGUGUAAAAAUCUUUGGUGAGAUUUACCAUCUCAUUUAAAGUUCUUUCACAAUUUUCGUGAAAAUUGAGUGAUGUGUAAUAAAUAAGUUAUUUUUUUCCUUUAUAGCUGAUGCUUGACCUUUUUUCCCUUGGUAAUAUAGCUUAUGAAGCAGAUAUAUAUGCCAAUACACCCUUGAUUUUAAGUCUUUCAAAUAGAAGAACAUAGGGAUAAACUGACACAUGAGAGAUGGAUAAAUGUAUGGACACAUACAUGUUCAACAGUUGUUGUUUUGGGGAUUAUGCCACAGAGUCAUCAAAUGCUGUCUAACACUAAAUUAGAUUUUCCUGUGAGGUGGUAAGCAACCUGUUGUGGGAAGUAAUCAAGCAGGGACUAGAUAUCCAUCUAUCAGAAAAAAUGAAUUUCUAGAGAGAUAUGGCAUAGCCUUUCUAAAUUUAAGGUUCCAUGAGUGUAGAGAAAUGAGGAUAAUGGCUGUUAAUGGUUAGUGUUUACCUUAGGAAAGCCACCAAUCUAAGUAUUCUAUCUGCACUAACUCAUUUAAUCCAGAAAGAGAUGGCUCCUAUAAGGGAAUUUUAACAAUACUCUGCCUUUCUGCAAAGAAAGUGCCAAGUGAGAAAGUUGUAUUGUUGAUAUACACACAUAUUCACAAAAGACCGCUAUAUAGGGAAUAAGCUUUUGCAAAUAAACACACUAAUCCCUCUAAAUCAGUGAGCAGUAUUUCUAAACCAGGAGAUUUAAUCUUCUGAAAUUACAUGAAAAAUAUUGUAUUUAUGUGCCCAUUUCUGGAGAAAGGUGACAAUUGCCCUCAUCAGCUUUGCCCUCAAAGGUCAAAAUAAUAAUAAUUAUAAAAAACUUUAAAGCUUACCCAGAAACAGAUGUAUUUCACAAGGUCAAUGUAUUAUAUAUUUCAAAAUAACUAAAGAAUAUGAUUUUAAAUGUUCUCACCACAAAGAAAUGAUAAAUAUUUGAGGUGAUAGAUACACUUAUUCGCCUGAUUUGAUCAUUCCACAAUUUAUGCGUGUAUUGAAACAUCACAUUGUGACCCAAAUAUGUAUAGAAUAAUUGUUUAUCAAUUCAAAAUAAAACUGUUUUUAAAAGUGCUUGGCAUAUAUCCUCAAAUGCUGCAGGAGCUAUGGGUUUUACAUGUUAUUUGGAAAGUGAUGGAGUAUGAGAAGUCACUGAAGCAGGUCAUUUACUUCUGAGUGUUGAUGGUCAAAGAUUGGUAGAUGCUGGGCUUUCCUUCUUCUGUCUGCCCAUGUACUUGGCCUAGCUUCACUAUUUGGGACUUGCAUUCUCUGAACAAGUGACUGUUCUUCAGUGAGCUGUCAGGAAAAUGGGGUUGCAGUAAUACUGGCUCUAUCUACUUUUUGUAAGGACCACAUUGAAAGUAAAAAGCUUAGUAAAAUGCUAGGAAGACAGCUAAGCAUUGAACAAAUAUGAUUCCUUUGGGGAUUUAUCUAUGCACAAUUUCAAAAAUAGAGGCAAUAUGAGCAAGUUCAGAGGCAAAGCACAGAAUAGCUUGGCGCCUAACUAGAAGCACUUCCUGUAACCUGCUGCCGUAUUUCAAGGUGCCACCCACCCAUGCUUCCUUCUGGGGAGUUCCUGUACAGAUCCCCUAGUGUCCUAAGCAGCUGUGCUCUGGCCAGUGCAUUUUUUUCCCAGCUCUUGUCUCAGCUGAGUACUGGUGGUGAGCUCCUGAUAUGGUUUGGCUGUGUCCCCACCAAAAUCUCAUCAUGAAUUCCCACAUGUCGUGGGAGGGACUUGGUGGGAGGUAAUUGAAUCAUGGGGGCAGAUCUUCCCGUACUGUUCUCUUGAUAGUGAAUUAGUUUCAUGAGAUUUUUCCCUGCACAAGCUCUCUCUUUGCCUGCUGCCAUCCAUGUGAGAUAUGCCUUUCACCUUCCACCAUGACUGUGAGGCCUCCCCAGCCAUGUGGAACUGUAAGCCCAAUAAACCUCUUUCUUUUGUAAAUUGCCCAGUCUCAGGUAUGUCUUUAUCAGCAGUGUGAAAAUGAACUAACAGAGUAAAUUGGUACCAGUAGAGUGGGGUGCUGCUGAAAAGAUACCCAAAAAUGUGGAAGCGACUUUGGAACUAAGUAACAGGCAGAGGUUGGAACAGUUUGGAGGGCUCAGAAGAAGGCAAAAAAUGUAGGAAAGUUUCGAACUCCCUAGAGGCUUGUUGAAUGGCUUUGACCAAAAUACUGAUAAUGAUACAGACAAUGAAAUCCAGGCUGAGGUGGUCUCAGAUGGAGAUGAAGAACUUGUCGGGAACUGGAGUAAAGGUGACUCUUGCUAUGUUUUAGCAAAGAGACUAGCAGCAUUUUGUCCCUGCCCUAGAGAUUUGUGGAACUUGGAACUUGAGAGAGAUGAUUUAGGGUAUCUGGCACAAGAAAUUUCUAAGCAGUGAAGCAUUCAAGAGGUGACUUGGGUGUUGUUAAAAGCACUAAGUUUUAAAAGAGAAACAGAGCAUAAAAGUUGGGAAAAUUUGCAGCCUGACACUGCCAUAGAAAAAAUAUCCCAUUUUCUGAGGAGAAAUUCAAGCCAGCUGCAGAAAUUUGCAUAAGUAACAAGGAGCCAAAUGUUAAUCACCAAGACAAUGAGGAAAAUGUCCCCAGCGCGUGUCAGAGGUCUUCAUGGCAGCCCCUCCCAUCACAGGCUCAGAGGCCUAAGAGCAAAAUAUGGUUUCGUCCACAGCCUGGCCCAGGGUCCCCAUGCUGUGUGCAGCCUAGGGACUUGGUGACCUGCUUCCCAGCCACUCCAUCCAUGGAUGAAAGGGGACAACAUGUAGCUCAAGCCGUGACUUCAGAGGGGUCAAGCCCCAAACCUUGGCAGCUUCCACAUGGUAUUGAGCCUGCGGGUGCACAGAAGUCAAGAAUUGGGGUUAGGGAACACCAGUGUAUGGAAAUGCCUGGAUGCCCAGGCAGAAGUUUGAUGCAGAGGCAGGCCCCUCAUGGAGAAUCUCUGCUAGAGCACUGCAGAAGGGAAAUGUGGAGUUGGAGCCUCCACACAGAGUCCCUCCUGGGGCACUGCCUAGUGGAGCUGUGAGAAGAGGGCCACUGUCCUCCCGACUCCAGAAUGGUAGAUCCACCAACAGCUUGCACCAUGCACCUGGAAAAGCCACAGAUACUCAGUGCUAGCGCAUGAAAGCAGCCAGGAAGGAAGCUGUACCCUGCAAAGCCACAGGGACAGAGCUGCCCAAGACUAUGGGAACCCAUUUCUUACAUAAGCAUGACCUGGAUGUGAGACAUGGAAUCAAAAGAGAUCAUUUUGAAGCCUUAAGAUUUGACUGCCCCACUGGAUUUCAGACUUGCCCAGGGCCUGUAGCCCCUUUGUUUUGGCCAAUUUCUCCCAUUUGAAAUGGCUGUAUUUACCCAAUGCCUGUACCCACAUUGUAUCUAGGAAGUAACUAACUUGCUUUUGAUUUUACAGGCUCAUAGGCAAAAGGGACUUGCCUUAUCUUGGAUGAGACUUUGGACUGUGGACUUCUGAGUUAAUGCUGAAAUGAGUUAAAACUUUGGGGGAUAGUUGGGAACUGUAAGACCAAUAAGUUUGUUUUGUAAAUUGUCCAGUCUUGGGUAUGUCUUUAUCAGCAGUGUGAAAACGGACAAAUAUAGCUCCUAACACUUUAAGAGUUAGCAAUGAGUGGGAGAGGCCAAAAAGAGAGUUACAAAGCUAGAGAGGAGGCAAGGGCAGCCUUUAUGUGCUUUACGUAAGGUAAAAUGAGAAUUCCAUCCAGCAGCGAGAGAGCAGAGUCGUGCAGUCAAAGAAAAACAGAAAGGUAAUGGUCCUAGUCCAUGAGAAGGAAAUACAGCAUCCUUAGCUUUUCAGAACUGCUGUAUUAAAGCCCUCUGUCUCUUCAAAAUAACCCUAAUUUUUUGAGCUAGUGAGUUGGAACUCUGUGCCAUGAUUUAGGUAUAACCUGAGUGCCAGUGAGCUCAGAGUACAGAGCAGUGAACACUGCUAUAGAGUCCCUCCUACAAAGGGUGCUGACUAAAUAACUCAGAAGCCACUAUCAGUGGGGCUUUACUGAGGUAGGAGCAGGUAAUUUGUGCAGGACAUAUAAUUAGUCUGAAAUAUUGGGUCCUUUCUUCAUCACGCCCCUCUUGGGAUAUUCCUUUAAACUAUUACUUACUGUUAAGCUCAUCUGUAUAAGAGACCACCUGAGCAGGCUUAGUAUGAGCAACAAGGCUGUUUAUUCACUUGGGUGCAAGUGGGCUGAGUCCGAGAAAGGAGUCAGCGAAGGGUGGUGGGAGUGGAACAGGUUUCAUUGGUUUGGGGUAGGUAGUGGAAAGUUACAGUUAGGGGCAGUUUUUUCGGGCAGGGGAAGAAUGUCACAAAGUACAUAGUCACGAGGUGGGGAGAGGUCACAAGGCACGAUAUCACAAGGUCGAUCGAUUAGUUAGGGUAGGGCAGGAGCAUAUCACAAUGAUGGCAUGUUGUAAGGUUGGUUAAUCAAUUAAGACAGGAACCAGCUGUUUCUUCUUCUUUAGUGGAUCUCCUGUUGCUCCAGGCUUUGUGACUCCAGGAGGC